GAAACAGAGUUUUUGAUGGCAUUCAGUUUUUGAUGGCAUUUUGAUGGCAUAUGAAAUCAAUUCAUAUUUCAAUAUAUUGUAGAGUCCGAAGACCUGUCUGUCCUUGAGUGAGACCCAGCAUCCUCAUCAUGCUCACCUAAGCUAGCUCAAGAAUUAGGUGAGAACUUUGGCAAAGAAUCCAAUGCAACACAUGCUAACUUCAGGGCUGGCUGGCACCUCGGCUGCCUGCCCCAUGAUGAGGACAGAAGCUUUCCUGUGGUUUAUAUGCAGCUGUUUGGACAUGACAUAACUGAAAUCUUGUGUUCGUGGCAGACGCAGUCACCUGAUACUCCAGCAGAAGGGCGGGGAAGAAAAAGAACAUAUGUCAGAAAAGUUCAUAACUGGGAGACCCAUUCAUCCCCAUCUUGAUCACUGCAAAGAUGACGGAACCCAAGAAAAAACAGUCUUGUGUGUCACUCACAUGAAUCUUCAGGAGGUACACAGAGGACACUGCGUGGAGAUUUUCUGGAUGGAUUGGGAGGAAUUGGGUACCACGCAAGAAUACUGAGAAAGGACCAGAGGUUAUGUUUUACCACACACUACACUGGCACUGAACUCUGGAUGAACAAGGUUUCCUGUGGGUUCAACAUCACUUUGGAAGUAGUAGUCAUGCCUUGUGAAUAGGACUUCAUUCUGAAGAGGUUUGGGACUAUUUAGAAGCUAAUGCCUUUGAAGGCUGAGCACGAGACAAGUUGAGUCUUGGGCAUGAAGACCCGUGGCUCCUGCCCAUCCAAGAGAAGAGUUGCCUGAGCCAGACGUGGGAAGCGGAGGAGUGGAGAGUAGGCCACUGCUGGUCAGAGCCAGUCCCCUCACCCAUGACUGCACACAGUUUAUCUCCUUCCCACUCCUGAGGGCAACGGUGUGCAGAAGCAGGUAUCUGCUGGGACCUGGGAGCUAUCACUUUGCUGGAAUUGGCUGGCUGUCCUUGGAGUGAAUGUUGUUUUGGAUUCCUUGAUUUCUUUGGAAGGACAUCUUCUUAAAUGGUGGGAUUUUUUAUGCCAGGAUUCAAGAUCCUUUCUAGAUCAAAACAGGCAUAAACUAAAAACAACAACAACAACAACAACAACAACAACAAAAACAACUCACUUCCCAAAAUGGCCCUCCUGUGGUCCAAGCCAGUGGCUCUCCCAUUCCCUGGCUUUUCAGUGUCUCCUCUGAGGCCCAGCGAGGGCCCACCUCCAGCAAGAGCUCUUCCCCACUGUGACUCUUCUCCAGAUCUCUGCAGCUCUUCUGAUCCAAAUCCUGACUCUAUUGAAUAUGAAAUGCAGCAGAAAAGGAAAUCAUGAUUUCAGCUUUUGACCUUCAAGAUCAUGAUCAGGAAAUUGGGCUGUGGAGUAAAGUUGGAAGUAGUAGAACCAGAACUGGAGUCCAGGAGGACUCGUUCCAGGCUGAAUGAACUUUGAUCAAUGUUAUGUCUUUCUUCUACAAUCUUUCCUAACCCUGCUGGCUUCCUUGAAUGUCUGCCUGUAAGUCUUUGUGCAGCAACAUAAAUGAGAAGGUGUCAUUUGUUGAUGGACAUCUAGGUUCUUUCCAUGGUUUGGCUGUUGUGGACAUUGCUGCUAUAAACAUUCGGGUGCAUGUGCCCCUUCGGAUCUCAAGUGACCUUUUUAGAACAGAAGUCCACCUCACUGGUCCCUGCUCUGUUGGUGUUCAGUCGUCUGUGGGAGCGUGGUAACCCGAUGGAUGACAGUGAUGUGGGCUGCUGCUCAGAUACGCUGGGCUAACAGCUAAACUUCUGUGACUACUAAAAAGCCCAUCAGAAGUGUAGAAGGCGCAUGGACUGAACAGAGGACAUGGAUGCGGAGGACAUGGAGGCAAGAGAUGCGGGUGAUGUGGAUCUGCUUGAAGGCCUGGGAGGCAGAAGAGGACAGAUGCAGUAUGAAUUUUGAGGCUCUUAGGUGGUGAAUAUUCCAUGAGGCCCACUUCAGGCUCAAUGUUUCCCAAUCUGCUCUCUUACAACCAUGCAUAACCCUGUGAUGUGAAAUAUCACCACUUUAUGAUACAGGAUAAUGCUACAAGAGAUCUUUCACUGAUGUAUCUUUGAGCUUGAGGAGCUAGCACAUUAAAUCAUGGAGUCCGGAAGGCAGUGGAAUACCAUAUUCAAGGUGCUG
Molecule: long non-coding RNA, 2150 nt
Organism: Mustela erminea (ermine)
Lineage: Eukaryota; Metazoa; Chordata; Mammalia; Carnivora; Mustelidae
Exons: 16
Source: RefSeq, a predicted model, not a curated record